This is a long non-coding RNA of Aphidius gifuensis, 805 nucleotides long. RefSeq lists it as uncharacterized. The transcript has 4 exons. NCBI's taxonomy places the organism in Eukaryota, Metazoa, Arthropoda, Insecta, Hymenoptera, Braconidae. The record is from RefSeq and is a predicted model, not a curated record.
UGACAAUGACAAUGUUGUGUUGACAAUACCAUACAAUUCAUCAACAGAACUGUGACGUCUGGGACUUGAUUGUGACCCUAUUACACCCAAUCUACCAUUUACGCUACUAUCUUUUAUAGUUAUAGUUUUUUAAAAGAUGGUUUUUACAUUUUUCUUCAAAGAAAUUCAAGUAAAGCAGAGAGAGAGAAGACUGCACGGACCCCCACGGACUUCACAGUUCACUCCGUUGCUUUUAAAUUGUUGAGCACAUUGGGUCAUUGGUUGAGCAAUUUUGGAGCGAAAUACACACAUCACCAGGAAGUUGAUAUCUGUGGAGGAGGAAUUGCGAAGACAACAACAAACAGUGUCGGCAGCAUUUUCACGUAUGUCUAAACUAUAAGCUCUAGCAGUAUUAAAAAUUAUAUUUCAACGUACUCCAAAAAUACCUAGAGUUUUAAUUUUUUCAUUGGAAAAUGUGGCAAGUUUGAAUGAACUUGUUCUGAUGAGUUAGAGCGAAGGCACACAUACACCUUGUCAAUUCCCAAUAUCAUUCUUGACUAUAAUUCCUCAAUUAACAGCCCUGAAAAAAAUUGAAACGGGUGGUAUGUGGAUUACUAUAGCUGUAUAUCUGAGGCUAUCGUUAAUGCUAAAUUAAAUUAACAGUACACCACACAGCCAAAUAAUAACAAUGAUGUUUCUACAUUGUUACAAAAUAUUGCUGAUAUUGGUGAACUUAAAAGUUCGUCCUGUUUGAAAUUAUUAUUAAGAUUAAUUUUAAAUAUACCUAUAACAUUUAAUUUUCUUAUUUUUUAAUAUUUUUCAUAAU